UAGCCACCAUCAUGCUACUAAGGGGCUCUGCUCUCCACAGCUGUGCAGUCCUGGCCAGAGAUGCUCAGGAGGCAAUCAGCUGCACCCCCGAGGGCACCCUCUCUCCUCCUGCCCACUCACCUGCCCUUGACAGGCAAAGGAGCCCAGUGAAAUGAAGACAAUGCAAGGAUGAGACAGGCGAAGAUGAAGCAGAAUAGUGUCAAGUGCCUGGUGUAUUAAAGGUUAAUUUAAAUAAAAGACCACAGUGAGUUAGAGGUGAGGUCUCCCCCUUUGGGGCUAGCAGACAGGGUCCUGUGCAUUGGCAUUGGUUAUAUAAAUGACACAAUUUCUCUCUCUUCUGUGACUCUGUUUAUCUAUUAAAUAAAGGGGAAAAUCCUCUUGUCCCUCUG
This 389-nucleotide long non-coding RNA is filed under the name Ictidomys tridecemlineatus (thirteen-lined ground squirrel). RNAcentral's name for it is "lncRNA (ENSSTOG00000029836.1)". The record is from RNAcentral. Lineage: Eukaryota; Metazoa; Chordata; Mammalia; Rodentia; Sciuridae.